AGCCCCCGGGGAGCGCGCGCGCUGUCUGUCUCCGAUGGCAGGCGGGCGCGCGCGGGCCCGGGUCUCGGCGGGGCGCGAGGUCGCCGCCACAGCCUUCGGCGGCCGCCCGGGGCCCGCCGCUGGAUGGAACGCGGGCCCAGAUGGAACGCCGGGGGACCCGAAGGUGGGACUCUGGUCGCCUGGGGGCCAGGGAAGCUGCCGGGGUUUGAAGACAGCAAAGACUCCAGCUCCCAGAGAAAUGGGACAUGGCAUUUUCAGACACAGAGCAGCUGCCCAGGUCCCCCACCUCGUGCAGCAGAACAAAUGCUUCUCGAGACAUCACUUUUAUGAUUGUCAAUUUUAUUAGAUUUACAAGAUCUUCAUCAAUACUCCCUCAAAUUAAAAAAAAAAAAAGUACAAAAACUACAUACAAAACAUGAGGUCAGACGACUAAACUUUCCCGACUCAGGGCCAAGUUCUGCAAAGGAGAAAGAAGAGUGUAAACUGGGCAGGGACUGAGAAGAGGGGCCUGGGCAGGGUCUAACCUCGGGGAGGACCAUUCGCUCACCUUCUUUAGCCUCCGCUCCCGUGAGGCCUGGGAGUCCGUCUCCGAGUACGGGGGAGGCGGUGGAGGGUAGUAGGCCUCCUCUUCUUCCUCUUCCUCCCUGUAAUGUUUCCUCCUCUCCCCUGGCCCCUUUUUCCUUAAGGCUUCUUCUAGUAGACGCUCAUCAUAAUGCGGGUCCCCAGACCUAGAGCCUUCAUCCCGGGAGUCUCGGGAUCGGUGCUGGCGGGAUCUGGGGUCCACCUGAGGGCGGUCCCUAGACCUGAAGUCAUCGUAGUGAGGAUCCCGCGAAUGUGGAAAGUCCCUCGAGUCAUCUGGGUCGUAGAGGUCAUCACGGCUACGGCUUCGUGGGGGCAUAUCCAACUUGGGAAUGACAGGUUCUCACCAGAGGUCAUGUUGCUGUCUGUGUCCCGAAGCAGGGGUACCUGGGAGCUGUGGCCAACUGAAGGAGAUUGGUGGCCCAGGGAGACGCCCUACUCUGAUUUGGUUCAAAAGCAGAAGAAUAAGUGCUGAGCCCCACCUAGGAAAAAACCCUACAUCAGCUCAGGUGACUGAUUUGCUGUGUUAUAAUUAGCAGUGGAAGCUGUUUCCUGAUGGAUCUGCAGGGGGCUGUGGCUGGGGCUAGAGCUGAAGUAACAGGGAUAGGCGGUAGGUGGAGGAGGUGUGCCUGGGGACAGGCCUGUGCACCUUGACCUCAGCCUCAGUGGGCUAACUGAAAACUUGGUGGCAGCCCUUUAAAGUUCUUUUCUGAAUCUGUAAAAUGGACUAACACCCACCACCUGAGCCAGAGCUCUCAAUUAAGUGAUGGGAGUGAGACUUUGAGGAGCCGGGUUGCCCACCAGGGUACCAGCUGGCAUGGACGGAGCUGCAGCUUCCUGGGCACUUUCCCAGUCUUCCCUUCAAGCUCAAAGAGAAGGGAAUGCUGCAGGUCAGAGGUCACAGUGUAUGGGGGGCCCUGAGCUGUACCCUAGCCUGAAGGCAUUGCUAAUGUAGACUAAACCCACGUCCAACAGCUAGUAGGCUCCAAACACUAUAGAGGUCCAGCCCCGUGCUGAAAGCUGUGAACUGAGUUCACUACAUCCCUGACUCACCCUGCCCAGUGAGCUCUGCCAUGAGCCCCAUUUUACAGAAGAGAAGGGCAAGGCACUCACUGGGCCAGCCCAUUAGGCAUUAUCAGGCCAACCUCAAACAUCCACCUACUCAGGCUCGUAACUGCCUGUUUUCCCGUUAAUACUCCUUGGGUUGUGUGCAGAAGUAGUGGUCUAUCUACUCGCCCUCCUGAAGGACUAAGGAACUGGUAACAGCUAGUGCCCUGAGGAGGGAAACAGGCAGUGGUGGGAGGGAGACUCACUUUCUUUCUCUUUGCUUGUGUCCUCCGCCCACUUCAUCUCUGGUCCUACUUCUAUUUCUGAACUUCCACAGGUACCCCACUCUGAUACAUCAGGAGUGCCCUAAAUGCAGGCUUCAUGUAAAAUGUAUAGUGUUCAUGUGAAUAUGUGUUUUUUUAAAAUGUGCUGAAAUUACAUGGUGCGGUAAACCUUGUUUUCUUAACUUUUA
Molecule: long non-coding RNA, 2098 nt
Organism: Marmota monax (woodchuck)
Lineage: Eukaryota; Metazoa; Chordata; Mammalia; Rodentia; Sciuridae
Exons: 4
Source: RefSeq, a predicted model, not a curated record